RNAcentral lists this ribosomal RNA (253 nucleotides) under uncultured bacterium. Its description in RNAcentral is "partial 16S ribosomal RNA". It matches the Rfam family "Bacterial small subunit ribosomal RNA", at positions 524 to 776 of the family's 1533-position model. The record is from RNAcentral.
GACAGAGGGUGCAAACGUUGUUCGGAAUCACUGGGCGUAAAGCGCACGUAGGCGGAUUGCUACGUCAGGGGUGAAAUCCUGGAGCUCAACUCCAGAACUGCCUUUGAUACUGGCGAUCUUGAGUCCGGGAGAGGUGAGUGGAACUGCGAGUGUAGAGGUGAAAUUCGUAGAUAUUCGCAAGAACACCAGUGGCGAAGGCGGCUCACUGGCCCGGUACUGACGCUGAGGUGCGAAAGCGUGGGGAGCAAACAGG